GUGAGACACGGGGCUGAAGUCGGCAGCCCUCGCCGACUUCAGCCCCGAUUCAUUUGGGGAAGGAGCCGGAACAGAGGAUCGCGUGGGCGAUCCUCUCCGGCUCCUCCGGAAGGGCAAACAAGGCAAGGGCGCCGCGAGAGUCCCGCGGCGCCCCUCCUAGUCCAUCCACGGCCGAUUCACGGCCGUGGAUCUCGCUUGACCGCCGCGAUUUUCGCGGCGGAGAACGAUUGCGAUGGGGCUAUAAAGCC
RNAcentral lists this long non-coding RNA (248 nucleotides) under Phoenix dactylifera (date palm). RNAcentral describes it as "long non-coding RNA (PDAC_LNC006860)". The record is from RNAcentral. Lineage: Eukaryota; Viridiplantae; Streptophyta; Magnoliopsida; Arecales; Arecaceae.